Molecule: ribosomal RNA, 393 nt
Filed under: uncultured bacterium
Lineage: Bacteria
Description: partial 16S ribosomal RNA
Rfam family: Bacterial small subunit ribosomal RNA
Source: RNAcentral
AUACGGAGGAUCCGAGCGUUAUCCGGAUUUAUUGGGUUUAAAGGGUGCGUAGGUGGUUUGAUAAGUCAGCGGUGAAAGUUUGCAGCUUAACUGUAAAAAUGCCGUUGAAACUGUCGGACUUGAGUGUAAAUGAGGUAGGCGGAAUGCGUGGUGUAGCGGUGAAAUGCAUAGAUAUCACGCAGAACUCCGAUUGCGAAGGCAGCUUACUAAGCUACAACUGACACUGAAGCACGAAAGCGUGGGGAUCAAACAGGAUUAGAUACCCUGGUAGUCCACGCAGUAAACGAUGAUUACUAGCUGUUUGCGAUACACAGUAAGCGGCACAGCGAAAGCGUUAAGUAAUCCACCUGGGGAGUACGCCGGCAACGGUGAAACUUAAAGGAAUUGACGGGG